AUUGAACGCUGGCGGCAGGCCUAACACAUGCAAGUCGAGCGGAUGAAGGGAGCUUGCUCCUGGAUUCAGCGGCGGACGGGUGAGUAAUGCCUAGGAAUCUGCCUGGUAGUGGGGGAUAACGUCCGGAAACGGGCGCUAAUACCGCAUACGUCCUGAGGGAGAAAGUGGGGGAUCUACGGACCUCACGCUAUCAGAUGAGCCUAGGUCGGAUUAGCUAGUUGGUGGGGUAAAGGCCUACCAAGGCGACGAUCCGUAACUGGUCUGAGAGGAUGAUCAGUCACACUGGAACUGAGACACGGUCCAGACUCCUACGGGAGGCAGCAGUGGGGAAUAUUGGACAAUGGGCGAAAGCCUGAUCCAGCCAUGCCGCGUGUGUGAAGAAGGUCUUCGGAUUGUAAAGCACUUUAAGUUGGGAGGAAGGGCAGUAAGUUAAUACCUUGCUGUUUUGACGUUACCAACAGAAUAAGCACCGGCUAACUUCGUG
RNAcentral lists this ribosomal RNA (484 nucleotides) under uncultured bacterium. RNAcentral's name for it is "partial 16S ribosomal RNA". It matches the Rfam family "Bacterial small subunit ribosomal RNA", at positions 30 to 507 of the family's 1533-position model. The record is from RNAcentral.